Molecule: ribosomal RNA, 416 nt
Filed under: uncultured archaeon CR-PA4a
Lineage: Archaea
Description: bacterial SSU rRNA
Rfam family: Archaeal small subunit ribosomal RNA
Source: RNAcentral
UAUCGGAUUGGUACUAAGCCAUGCGAGUCAUUGUAGCAAUACAAGGCGGACGGCUCAGUAACACGUAGUCAACCUAACUCGUGGACGUGGAUAACCUCGGGGAACUGAGAAUAAACCACGAUAGAUCAUAGUGCCUGGAAUGGCUUAUGGUCCAAACAGUUUACUGCCAUGGGAUGGGACUGCGGCCUAUCAGCUUGUUGGUGAGGUAAUGGCCCACCAAGGCGAUUACAGGUACGGGCUCUGAGAGGAGAAGCCCGGAGAUGGGUACUGAGACACGGACCCAGGCCCUAUGGAGCGCAGCAGGCGAGAAACCUUAGCAAUGUGCGAAAGCACGACUGGGUCAGUCCGAGUGAUUCCUGAUAAAGGAGUCUUUUGCCUGUCCUAAAAGCACAGGUGAAUAAGGGGUGGGCAAGUCU